CCUACGGGAGGCAGCAGUGGGGGAUAUUGGACAAUGGGGGGAACCCUGAUCCAGCGACGCCGCGUGAGUGAAGAAGUAUCUCGGUAUGUAAAGCUCUAUCAGCAGGGAAGAAGAAAUGACGGUACCUGAGUAAGAAGCCCCGGCUAACUACGUGCCAGCAGCCGCGGUAAUACGUAGGGGGCAAGCGUUAUCCGGAAUUACUGGGUGUAAAGGGAGCGUAGACGGUGAUGUAAGUCUGGAGUGAAAGGCGGGGGCCCAACCCCCGGACUGCUCUGGAAACUAUGUGACUGGAGUGCAGGAGAGGUGAGCGGAAUUCCUAGUGUAGCGGUGAAAUGCGUAGAUAUUAGGAAGAACACCAGUGGCGAAGGCGGCUUUCUGGACUGAAACUGACGCUGAGGCACGAAAGCGUGGGGAGCGAACAGGAUUAGAUACCCCUGUAGUC
Molecule: ribosomal RNA, 442 nt
Filed under: uncultured bacterium
Lineage: Bacteria
Description: partial 16S ribosomal RNA
Rfam family: Bacterial small subunit ribosomal RNA
Source: RNAcentral